AGUGAACGCUGGCGGUAGGCCUAACACAUGCAAGUCGAACGGCAGCACAGUAAGAGCUUGCUCUUACGGGUGGCGAGUGGCGGACGGGUGAGGAAUACAUCGGAAUCUACUUUUUCGUGGGGGAUAACGUAGGGAAACUUACGCUAAUACCGCAUACGACCUACGGGUGAAAGCAGGGGAUCUUCGGACCUUGCGCGAUUGAAUGAGCCGAUGUCGGAUUAGCUAGUUGGCGGGGUAAAGGCCCACCAAGGCGACGAUCCGUAGCUGGUCUGAGAGGAUGAUCAGCCACACUGGAACUGAGACACGGUCCAGACUCCGACGGGAGGCAGCAGUGGGGAAUAUUGGACAAUGGGCGCAAGCCUGAUCCAGCCAUACCGCGUGGGUGAAGAAGGCCUUCGUGUUGUAAAGCCCUUUUGUUGGGAAAGAAAAGCAGCAGGUUAAUACCCCGCUGUUCUGACGGUACCCAAAGAAUAAGCACCGGCUAACUUCGU
Molecule: ribosomal RNA, 491 nt
Filed under: uncultured bacterium
Lineage: Bacteria
Description: partial 16S ribosomal RNA
Rfam family: Bacterial small subunit ribosomal RNA
Source: RNAcentral